CCCAGACAGCCAGGAUGUUGGCUUAGAAGCAGCCAUCAUUUAAAGAAAGCGUAAUAGCUCACUGGUCGAGUCGGCCUGCGCGGAAGAUGUAACGGGGCUAAACCAUGCACCGAAGCUGCGGCAGCGACACUGUGUGUUGUUGGGUAGGGGAGCGUUCUGUAAGCCUGUGAAGGUGGCCUGUGAGGGUUGCUGGAGGUAUCAGAAGUGCGAAUGCUGACAUAAGUAACGAUAAAGCGGGUGAAAAGCCCGCUCGCCGGAAGACCAAGGGUUCCUGUCCAACGUUAAUCGGGGCAGGGUGAGUCGACCCCUAAGGCGAGGCCGAAAGGCGUAGUCGAUGGGAAACAGGUUAAUAUUCCUGUACUUGGUGUUACUGCGAAGGGGGGACGGAGAAGGCUAUGUUGGCCGGGCGACGGUUGUCCCGGUUUAAGCGUGUAGGUGUGUGUUCCAGGUAAAUCCGGUUCACUUUAACACUGAGGCGUGAUGACGAGGCACUACGGUGCUGAAGCAACAAAUGCCCUGCUUCCAGGAAAAGCCUCUAAGCAUCAGGUAACAUCAAAUCGUACCCCAAACCGACACAGGUGGUCAGGUAGAGAAUACCAAGGCGCUUGAGAGAACUCGGGUGAAGGAACUAGGCAAAAUGGUGCCGUAACUUCGGGAGAAGGCACGCUGA
RNAcentral lists this ribosomal RNA (670 nucleotides) under Salmonella enterica subsp. enterica serovar Anatum. RNAcentral's name for it is "partial 23S ribosomal RNA". It matches the Rfam family "Bacterial large subunit ribosomal RNA", at positions 1084 to 1754 of the family's 2925-position model. Lineage: Bacteria; Pseudomonadati; Pseudomonadota; Gammaproteobacteria; Enterobacterales; Enterobacteriaceae. The record is from RNAcentral.